CAGUCGCCGCGGGAAUACGGAGGGUGCAAGCGUUAAUCGGAAUUACUGGGCGUAAAGCGCACGCAGGCGGUUUGUUAAGUCAGAUGUGAAAUCCCCGGGCUCAACCUGGGAACUGCAUUUGAAACUGGCAAGCUAGAGUCUCGUAGAGGGGGGUAGAAUUCCAGGUGUAGCGGUGAAAUGCGUAGAGAUCUGGAGGAAUACCGGUGGCGAAGGCGGCCCCCUGGACGAAGACUGACGCUCAGGUGCGAAAGCGUGGGGAGCAAACAGGAUUAGAUACCCCUGUAGUCCCUGUCUCUUAUAA
This 301-nucleotide ribosomal RNA is filed under the name uncultured bacterium. RNAcentral's name for it is "partial 16S ribosomal RNA". It matches the Rfam family "Bacterial small subunit ribosomal RNA", at positions 509 to 809 of the family's 1533-position model. The record is from RNAcentral.